AUUUAAUUGGUGACUUGUAUGAAGGAUUGGAUGAAAUAUAAACUGUCUCUAGAUUAUAUUUAGAAAUUAAUUUUUUAAUUAAAAAGUUAAGAUAAAUUAAAAAGACGAGAAGACCCUAUAGAGUUUUAUAGAUAGUUUUAUUAAGAUUAUUUGAAUAAAAAAAAAAUUAAAAUGGAAUUAUUUAUUUUAUUGGGGUGAUAGAAAAAUAAAUAUAACUUUUUUUAAAAUUAAAACAUUUAUAAGUGAUUAAUUGAUCCAAUAUUAUUGAUUAUAAGAAAAAAUUACCUUAGGGAUAACAGCGUAAUUUUUUUUUUUAGUUCAAAUAAGAAAAAGAGUUUGCGACCUCGAUGUUGGAUUAAGAUAAAAUUUAAAUGCAGAAG
This 380-nucleotide ribosomal RNA is filed under the name Amphipoea oculea. RNAcentral describes it as "partial 16S large subunit ribosomal RNA". The record is from RNAcentral. Lineage: Eukaryota; Metazoa; Arthropoda; Insecta; Lepidoptera; Noctuidae.